UUCCAUCGUGGGGCUGAGAAAAGUGGAAAAAUGUGACUUUUUUCAAAUAUUUUUGACGUUUUUCACUUUUCUCAGCCCCAGAACGAAAA
Molecule: microRNA precursor, 89 nt
Filed under: Lutzomyia longipalpis
Lineage: Eukaryota; Metazoa; Arthropoda; Insecta; Diptera; Psychodidae
Description: mir-92 microRNA precursor family
Source: RNAcentral